ACUCAAAUGAAUUGACGGGGGCCCGCACAAGCGGCGGAGCAUGUUGCUUAAUUCGACGCAACGCGAAGAACCUUACCAAGGUUUGACAUCACCCGGAUCGCGGUGGAGACAUCGUUUCCCUUUUGGGCUGGGUGACAGGUGGUGCAUGGCUGUCGUCAGCUCGUGUCGUGAGAUGUUGGGUUAAGUCCCGCAACGAGCGCAACCCUUGCUCCAUGUUGCCAGCACGCUCCUGUUUGGGGGUGGUGGGGACUCAUGGGGGACUGCCGGGGUCAACUCGGAGGAAGGUGGGGAUGACGUCAAGUCAUCAUGCCCCUUAUGUCUUGGGCUGCAAACAUGCUACAAUGGCUGGUACAGAGGGUGGCGAUGCCGUGAGGCGGAGCGAAUCCCUAAAAGCCGGUCUCAGUUCGGAUUGGGGUCUGCAACUCGACCCCAUGAAGUCGGAGUCGCUAGUAAUCGCAGAUCAGCAAUGCUGCGGUGAAUACGUUCCCGGGCCUUGUACACACCGCCCGU
Molecule: ribosomal RNA, 510 nt
Filed under: uncultured bacterium
Lineage: Bacteria
Description: partial 16S ribosomal RNA
Rfam family: Bacterial small subunit ribosomal RNA
Source: RNAcentral